AAUCUUCCGCAAUGGACGAAAGUCUGACGGAGCAACGCCUCGUGAGUGAUGAAGGUCUUCGGAUCGUAAAACUCUGUUGUUAGUGAAGAACAAGUAUCGUUCGAUUAGGGCGGUACCUUGACGGUACUUAACCAGAAAGCCACGGCUAACUACGUGCCACCAGCCGCGGCAAUACGUAGGUGGCAAGAGUUAUCCGGAGUUAUUGGGCGGAAAGCGCGCGCAGGCGGUUUCUUAAAUGUGAGAUGAAAGACCCCGGCUCAACCGUGGAGGGUCAUUGGAAAAUGGGAAGCUUGAGUGCAGGAGAGGAGAGUGGAAUUCCAUGUGUAGCGGUGAAAUGCGUAGAGAUAUGGAGGAACACCAGUGGCGAAGGCGACUCUCUGGGCUGCAACUGACGCUGAGGCGCGAAAGCGUGGGGAGCGAACA
This 423-nucleotide ribosomal RNA is filed under the name uncultured bacterium. Its description in RNAcentral is "partial 16S ribosomal RNA". It matches the Rfam family "Bacterial small subunit ribosomal RNA", at positions 360 to 774 of the family's 1533-position model. The record is from RNAcentral.